GGCGAGGAAAUGAUGGGCAAGCAGAAAGGCGGGGAAAGCAGAAGGGGGACCAGACAAAAAGGGUGUAGGUGAGAGAAGGGGGCACUCCAGGCGGAGGCAGCCAGACCGUACCUUUUGAUACACAGCCUGGACGGCAGGAGUAAUAGUUGCUGCAUUUUGAAAAAUCAAGAGGAAAAGAGUUAACAGGAAGAAAAGUUCGAGGUAAUUACCGUUUAGUUUAUGCUUGGAAUUACA
This 234-nucleotide long non-coding RNA is filed under the name Homo sapiens (human). RNAcentral's name for it is "HSALNT0074104". Lineage: Eukaryota; Metazoa; Chordata; Mammalia; Primates; Hominidae. The record is from RNAcentral.